RNAcentral lists this transfer RNA (70 nucleotides) under human gut metagenome. It matches the Rfam family "tRNA". Rfam says of the family: Transfer RNA (tRNA) molecules are approximately 80 nucleotides in length. Their secondary structure includes four short double-helical elements and three loops (D, anti-codon, and T loops). Further hydrogen bonds mediate the characteristic L-shaped molecular structure. tRNAs have two regions of fundamental functional importance: the anti-codon, which is responsible for specific mRNA codon recognition, and the 3' end, to which the tRNAs corresponding amino acid is attached (by aminoacyl-tRNA synthetases). tRNAs cope with the degeneracy of the genetic code in two manners: having more than one tRNA (with a specific anti-codon) for a particular amino acid; and 'wobble' base-pairing, i.e. permitting non-standard base-pairing at the 3rd anti-codon position. The record is from RNAcentral.
CGAAAUAGCUCAAUUGGUAGAGCAACUGAAUCGUAAUCAGUAGGUUACGGGUUCAAUUCCUGUUUUCGGC